AAUCUUCCACAAUGGGCGAAAGCCUGAUGGAGCAACGCCGCGUGAGUGAGGAAGGCUUUCGGGUCGUAAAGCUCUGUUGCCAGGGAAGAAUAAGGGCUAGUUAACUGCUAGUCCGAUGACGGUACCUGAGAAGAAAGCACCGGCUAACUACGUGCCAGCAGCCGCGGUAAUACGUAGGGGGCAAGCGUUGUCCGGAAUUAUUGGGCGUAAAGCGCGCGCAGGCGGUCUUUUAAGUCUGGUGUAUAAGUGCGGGGCUCAACCCCGUGAGGCACUGGAAACUGGGAGACUUGAGUGCAGAAGAGGAGAGCGGAAUUCCACGUGUAGCGGUGAAAUGCGUAGAGAUGUGGAGGAACACCAGUGGCGAAGGCGGCUCUCUGGACUGUAACUGACGCUGAGGCGCGAAAGCGUGGGGAGCAAACAGG
RNAcentral lists this ribosomal RNA (422 nucleotides) under uncultured bacterium. RNAcentral describes it as "bacterial SSU rRNA". It matches the Rfam family "Bacterial small subunit ribosomal RNA", at positions 360 to 776 of the family's 1533-position model. The record is from RNAcentral.